CUCUUAUGAAGUUAGCGGCGGACGGGUGAGUAACACGUGGGUAACCUGCCCAUAAGACUGGGAUAACUCCGGGAAACCGGGGCUAAUACCGGAUAACAUUUUGAACCGCAUGGUUCGAAAUUGAAAGGCGGCUUCGGCUGUCACUUAUGGAUGGACCCGCGUCGCAUUAGCUAGUUGGUGAGGUAACGGCUCACCAAGGCAACGAUGCGUAGCCGACCUGAGAGGGUGAUCGGCCACACUGGGACUGAGACACGGCCCAGACUCCUACGGGAGGCAGCAGUAGGGAAUCUUCCGCAAUGGACGAAAGUCUGACGGAGCAACGCCGCGUGAGUGAUGAAGGCUUUCGGGUCGUAAAACUCUGUUGUUAGGGAAGAACAAGUGCUAGUUGAAUAAGCUGGCACCUUGACGG
This 409-nucleotide ribosomal RNA is filed under the name Bacillus thuringiensis. Its description in RNAcentral is "bacterial SSU rRNA". It matches the Rfam family "Bacterial small subunit ribosomal RNA", at positions 81 to 475 of the family's 1533-position model. The record is from RNAcentral. Lineage: Bacteria; Bacillati; Bacillota; Bacilli; Caryophanales; Bacillaceae.